GCUGGCAGCUAGCUCUCUGCAACUCUCACAUGGUCGCUGAAGCUAAACAGGGCUGCGCCCAGUCAGUACCUGGAUGGGAGACCACGUGGGAAAGUUAGGUUGCUGCCGAAA
Molecule: ribosomal RNA, 111 nt
Filed under: Danio rerio (zebrafish)
Lineage: Eukaryota; Metazoa; Chordata; Actinopteri; Cypriniformes; Danionidae
Source: RNAcentral